UACAGAGGGUGCGAGCGUUAAUCGGAAUUACUGGGCGUAAAGGGCGCGUAGGCUGCUCGCUAAGUCGGGUGUGAAAACUCUGGGCUCAACCCAGAGCCUGCAUUCGAAACUGACGAGCUAGAGUUCUGGAGGGGAAAGCGGAAUUCCUGGUGUAGCGGUGAAAUGCGUAGAUAUCAGGAGGAACACCGGUGGCGAAGGCGGCUUUCUGGACAGAAACUGACGCUGAGGCGCGAAAGCUAGGGGAGCAAACAGG
RNAcentral lists this ribosomal RNA (253 nucleotides) under uncultured bacterium. RNAcentral's name for it is "partial 16S ribosomal RNA". It matches the Rfam family "Bacterial small subunit ribosomal RNA", at positions 524 to 776 of the family's 1533-position model. The record is from RNAcentral.